Molecule: ribosomal RNA, 449 nt
Filed under: uncultured bacterium
Lineage: Bacteria
Description: partial 16S ribosomal RNA
Rfam family: Bacterial small subunit ribosomal RNA
Source: RNAcentral
AACGAACGCUGGCGGCAUGCCUAACACAUGCAAGUCGAACGAGACCUUCGGGUCUAGUGGCGCACGGGUGCGUAACGCCUGGGAAUCUACCCCUGGGUUCGGAAUAACAGUUAGAAAUGACUGCUAAUACCGGAUGAUGACGUAAGUCCAAAGAUUUAUCGCACAAGGAUGAGCCGGCGUAAGAUUAGCUUGUUGGUGGGGUAAUGGCCUACCAAGGCGACGAUCUUUAGCUGGUCUGAGAGGAUGAUCAGCCACACUGGGACUGAGACACGGCCCAGACUCCUACGGGAGGCAGCAGUGGGGAAUAUUGGACAAUGGGCGAAAGCCUGAUCCAGCAAUGCCGCGUGAGUGAUGAAGGCCUUAGGGUUGUAAAGCUCUUUUACCAGGGAUGAUAAUGACAGUACCUGGAGAAUAAGCUCCGGCUAACUCCGUGCCAGCAGCCGCAGUAA